GACGAACGCUGGCGGCGUGCUUAACACAUGCAAGUCGAACGAUGAACCCGGAGCUUGCUCCGGCGGAUUAGUGGCGAACGGGUGAGCAACACGUGAGUAACCUGCCCUUGACUCUGGGAUAACUGCUAGAAAUGGUAGCUAAUACCGGAUACGACCCUCGGUGGCAUCACCAGGGGGUGGAAAGAAUUUCGGUCAAGGAUGGACUCGCGGCCUAUCAGCUAGUUGGUGAGGUAACGGCUCACCAAGGCGACGACGGGUAGCCGGCCUGAGAGGGUGACCGGCCACACUGGGACUGAGACACGGCCCAGACUCCUACGGGAGGCAGCAGUGGGGAAUAUUGCACAAUGGGCGCAAGCCUGAUGCAGCAACGCCGCGUGAGGGAUGACGGCCUUCGGGUUGUAAACUUCUUUUAGUAGGGAAGAAGCGAAAGUGACAGUACCUGCAGAAAAAGCACCGGCUAACUACGUGCCAGCCGCCGCUGUAA
RNAcentral lists this ribosomal RNA (484 nucleotides) under uncultured bacterium. Its description in RNAcentral is "partial 16S ribosomal RNA". It matches the Rfam family "Bacterial small subunit ribosomal RNA", at positions 28 to 523 of the family's 1533-position model. The record is from RNAcentral.